CAAAGUUUUAUUUUGUUCAUCGCUUACUUAUCCUCGCUACUUCUCUCGCCUAGGUAGGACCUUUCAUUGCGUCAAGGGAAAGAAAAGGCAGUUUCCUGGGUAGAAGAAAUUUGAUGCCAAUUCUGCACACCCAAAUUCCUGGCAGAUUAAUCAGCAAGUAGUACAGAGAGCUGCUUUCUUUAAAAAGCUUCAUUUAUCACUCAAACUGUGAAUGCUGAGAUGCCAAGGCACUGUGAAGAAAUGAUCCUUUAGAGAGGAAAAAACCCUCCUGAAAAAGAAGCUGGGACCUAGGAGCUCCAAGGAUUGUGCUCAUUGCAGUGCUCAUUGUUUUGUUUAAAUUGUAUCUUCAGAGGACAAGGUCUAAGAAAUAACUUUUUUUGGCAUAAGUGACUUCAGAAUGAAAAAUUUUAAAUAUGUAA
Panthera uncia (snow leopard) is the source of this 419-nucleotide long non-coding RNA. RefSeq lists it as uncharacterized. The record is from RefSeq and is a predicted model, not a curated record. The transcript has 3 exons. NCBI's taxonomy places the organism in Eukaryota, Metazoa, Chordata, Mammalia, Carnivora, Felidae.